UAUAACUAAACAUUGUAAAAAAAACAAGAAUAGAAUUAAGCAUAAAAUAAGCAUAUAUUUAGAGAAGUUGUUGUUGUAAUGCAAUGAACCCAAUCUAUUGAAUAACCACUUAAGUAAUCCUAUCCAUUUAAUCUUUACUAUCUACUAAUGGAGCCUCCGUUGUUACUAAUUUAUGUCUAUUUUUAUGUGUUUCAAAUUGUUCAUUACUCAGAACCUUUGAAAAUCCAUCAGCAUAUUGAAGCACAGAAGGAAUGUGUUCCAGUUUCACUGCACCCUUAGCUAUUAGGUCCUUUAUAUAAUGAUAGAAAAUAUCUAUGUGUCUUAGUCUAGGUGUAGUUGUAGGAUUUUCAGCUAUAGUUGGAGAUUCAUCAAACCUAAUAAUAUCCAACUCUCUAAACAAAUUACACAAGUUUUUAACAUCUGAGAAGACUGCAGAAAGAGCUCUAUAUUCUGAUUCACAACUAGAUUUUGAAACCUCAUUUUGCUUUUUUGCUGACCACCCAACCAAAUUUCCUCCAAACCAAAGAUUGAUCCCAGUUAUUGACUUCCUAGUCCCUGGAUCUCCACCCCAAUCAGAAUCACAGUAUCCUAUGAUAGUUUGUGAUUCAUUCAUAGAGGGUGUGAAUCUUAGUCCCAAAUUUUGAGUUCCCAUAAGAUACCUAAAUACCCUUUUUGCAACUUGUAAAUGUAGAUCAGUAGGUUGAUGAAGAAACUGACUUAAUAGGUUUACAUAAAAGGAUAUAUCAGGUCUAGUUAGAUUAAGGUAUUGUAAUGACCCAAUCAUGCUUCUGAAUUGAGUUAUAUCUUCUAAUACCUCACCAUCUUUCAAGGUUAAUUUAGGAGUUAACCUCAUUGGAGUUUUGGAUGGGGAAGAUUCUCCUAAUCCAUAUUUAAUCAGUAAUUCACUGAUGUAUUU
Molecule: long non-coding RNA, 916 nt
Filed under: Zostera marina
Lineage: Eukaryota; Viridiplantae; Streptophyta; Magnoliopsida; Alismatales; Zosteraceae
Description: long non-coding RNA (ZMAR_LNC005608)
Source: RNAcentral